AUCUCCACAAGUUUUGUGAUAGAGCCUCGCUCAGCUGGACUUCCUCACGCUGAUUUACCCGGCAAGUAAAGCUUACUGACAUGAGAACACUGAAUCGCACACAGACAGUGUUUGCCAAGACAGCAUAGCAAGGGGCAUGAUUUCCCCACUGUCAUCGAGGUUAGCUUAAUAAUUAAUACAGGUGCCAGAUGAUACUGAACAAAAGUUAGCCCAACCUACGACAGUUAGCCACUGCACACAGCUCUGUGGCAGAAAAUGGUCGUGGAGAUUCAGCUCUUCACUAUUUACUACUACGCACAGCCCAUGCGUCCACCCCUUUGGAGGACCAAGUGUUCCUGUAGCGAAGCCUAGAAUUAACGUGUUUUACCACGGGCCACUUCAAGCCUUUGCUUCUGCAGGUCUAUUAGUCGAACAAUUUCCCGUCCACAACUACCAAAGAUGUGUGCUGCACAGACCUCGGGCACACGAGCACAGGUUUACAAACUUCCAAAGCAGCAAUUUGCUUAAAGAGUGGAAGGAGAGCAAAUUUCCCUCCGAACAAGCGGUCGCUGUUGGCAAAGACACAGACAGCCGUCCGCGGAGCUCAGCCCGGCACUCACCCGGCCAGGGGCUGCCAGGACAUCGCAGUGCCAGCGGACAGAACGACAUCGCCUCCGCGACGGUCCGCGCUCGCAACGCUCCCCCGCCUGCAGCCACCCCAGGAAGCGCCUCCCUCGGGCAGGAGGGGCGGAGGGACGGCCGAGCUCUUGCAGGUUUUUAUGAGUCUCUGGGAGUUUGAGAAGUCUAAGUCGUAUGGGAAAUUCAAAGGAGAUAAGUAUUAAUGUAUGUAUUUUACUGAUAAAUAAACACUAAAACUUGAGGUGACA
This 866-nucleotide long non-coding RNA is filed under the name Coturnix japonica (Japanese quail). RNAcentral's name for it is "lncRNA (ENSCJPG00005005805.1)". The record is from RNAcentral. Lineage: Eukaryota; Metazoa; Chordata; Aves; Galliformes; Phasianidae.